CUACGUGCCAGCAGCCGCGGUAAUACGUAGGGCGCGAGCGUUGUCCGGAAUUAUUGGGCGUAAAGGGCUUGUAGGCGGUUGGUCGCGUCUGCCGUGAAAUUCUCUGGCUUAACUGGGGGCGUGCGGUGGGUACGGGCUGACUUGAGUGCGGUAGGGGAGACUGGAACUCCUGGUGUAGCGGUGGAAUGCGCAGAUAUCAGGAAGAACACCGGUGGCGAAGGCGGGUCUCUGGGCCGUUACUGACGCUGAGGAGCGAAAGCGUGGGGAGCGAACAGGAUUAGAUACCCUGGUAGUCCACGCUGUAAACGUUGGGCACUAGGUGUGGGGGCCACCCGUGGUUUCUGCGCCGUAGCUAACGCUUUAAGUGCCCCGCCUGGGGAGUACGGCCGCAAGGCUAAAACUCAAAGGAAUUGACGGGGGCCCGCACAAGCGGCGGAGCAUGCGGAUUAAUUCGAUGCAACGCGAAGAACCUUACCAAGGCUUGACAU
Molecule: ribosomal RNA, 488 nt
Filed under: uncultured bacterium
Lineage: Bacteria
Description: bacterial SSU rRNA
Rfam family: Bacterial small subunit ribosomal RNA
Source: RNAcentral